Molecule: long non-coding RNA, 699 nt
Organism: Magnolia sinica
Lineage: Eukaryota; Viridiplantae; Streptophyta; Magnoliopsida; Magnoliales; Magnoliaceae
Exons: 3
Source: RefSeq, a predicted model, not a curated record
CAUGGUGAUUUACUUUAUUUUCUUGGUAGUUUCUCUUCCUUCCUGUCCUCGCCUCUAAUUUCGGGUGAUUUUACUUUCUCUUUUCUCACUGGUUUCUCUUCCUUCCUCACCUCAGCUCUAAUUUCAAGCGAUUUCCUUCCUCUUUUUCUCAGCAGUUUCUCUUUCUUCUUCUCCUUCGCUCUAAUUUCAAGUGAUUUACUCUCUCUUUUCUCAGCAGCUCCUCUACGUUCCUCUCCUCAGCUUCUUAAAAGUGAUUUGCUUUAAUUUCAAGUGAUUUACUCUCUCUUUUCUCAGCAGUUUCUCUGCCUUCCUCUCCUCAGCUUCUUAAAAGUGAAGUCACAUCCAUAGAUUUUUCACAGCACCACUUCCAUCAGUACCUUUGUUUCAUUCCUCUGCAAUCUAAAAAAAAAACACUAUAUCUGCCCAUCCAUCCGUCUACCACACCCUUCUCCUAAGGUUGUGUAUAUAGGCUUUCUUCAUCUGCUCAUUUGAGAUAGAUCUUAAAAAGAACUUUUUCCUUUCAAAUACAGCAUCGACCAUCCAACAGUACUCAAUAGCAACGAUUAAAAGUGCCAGGUCAUUUUCCCUCCUAUGGCCACAUGCUGAGUUGUACGAUUUGAACUGUCCAUAUUCUAACCAGGAGCAACUAACUAUUGGUCCAUAAUCAAGCUUGCUUCUGAAAAGUGAAGACAUAUAAAC